UACAGAGGGUGCGAGCGUUGUCCGGAAUCACUGGGCGUAAAGGGCGCGUAGGUGGCGCUGCAAGUCGGUGGUGAAAGCUCGUCGCUUAACGACGAGUCGGCCAUCGAAACUGCGGGGCUGGAGCACUGUAGGGGCAGAUGGAAUUCCGGGUGUAGCGGUGGAAUGCGUAGAGAUCCGGAAGAACACCGGUGGCGAAGGCGGUCUGCUGGGCAGUAGCUGACACUGAGGAGCGAAAGCGUGGGGAGCGAACAGG
This 253-nucleotide ribosomal RNA is filed under the name uncultured bacterium. Its description in RNAcentral is "partial 16S ribosomal RNA". It matches the Rfam family "Bacterial small subunit ribosomal RNA", at positions 524 to 776 of the family's 1533-position model. The record is from RNAcentral.